Molecule: long non-coding RNA, 225 nt
Filed under: Elaeis guineensis (African oil palm)
Lineage: Eukaryota; Viridiplantae; Streptophyta; Magnoliopsida; Arecales; Arecaceae
Description: long non-coding RNA (EGUI_LNC059011)
Source: RNAcentral
UGUGGACCAUCCAUAGAGUUCAGAUGCUUGUGCGGCUGCGAGCAACCCGAGAAGACUUUCAGUUCUACGUUCUUGAUCAUAGAGUUUGACUACCCAUACUCAGGUAUUGGGUUUGGAACCCUAGAAGUGGUAUAUUAGAUCUAUUACUAAAUGCUGUCUUUUGAUUCACAUGCUUGUCAUUUUACUUUCAGAUUUUUAUACAUAUAAAUUUAUGUCAUCUAUCCA